GACGAACGCUGGCGGCGCGCUUAACACAUGCAAGUCGAACGGAAAGGCCUGCUUUCCCUUGUGGAUUGCGGGUACUCGAGUGGCGAACGGGUGAGUAACACGUGAGUGAUCUGCCCCCAACUUGGGUAUAAGCCUGGGAAACUGGGUCUAAUUCCCGAUAGGACUGCAGGGUGGUUCCUGUGGUGGAAAACGAUUUUCUAGUGGUUGGGGAUGAGCUCGCGGCCUAUCAGCUUGUUGGUGGGGUAAUGGCCUACCAAGGCGGCGACGGGUAGCCGGCCUGAGAGGGUGGACGGCCACAUUGGGACUGAGAUACGGCCCAGACUCCUACGGGAGGCAGCAGUGGGGAAUAUUGCACAAUGGGCGGAAGCCUGAUGCAGCGACGCCGCGUGGGGGAUGACGGCCUUCGGGUUGUAAACUCCUUUCGACCGCGAGGAAGCCACCUGGUUGGAAGGGUGGUGACGGUAGUGGUAGAAGAAGCACCGGCUAACUACGUG
Molecule: ribosomal RNA, 494 nt
Filed under: uncultured bacterium
Lineage: Bacteria
Description: partial 16S ribosomal RNA
Rfam family: Bacterial small subunit ribosomal RNA
Source: RNAcentral